Molecule: ribosomal RNA, 632 nt
Filed under: uncultured bacterium
Lineage: Bacteria
Description: bacterial SSU rRNA
Rfam family: Bacterial small subunit ribosomal RNA (bases 1-543)
Source: RNAcentral
CCUACGGGAGGCAGCAGUAGGGAAUCUUCCGCAAUGGACGAAAGUCUGACGGAGCAACGCCGCGUGAGUGAAGAAGGUUUUCGGAUCGUAAAACUCUGUUGUUAGGGAAGAACAAGUACGAGAGUAACUGCUCGUACCUUGACGGUACCUAACCAGAAAGCCACGGCUAACUACGUGCCAGCAGCCGCGGUAAUACGUAGGUGGCAAGCGUUGUCCGGAAUUAUUGGGCGUAAAGCGCGCGCAGGCGGUCUUUUAAGUCUGAUGUGAAAGCCCCCGGCUCAACCGGGGAGGGUCAUUGGAAACUGGAGGACUUGAGUGCAGAAGAGGAGAGCGGAAUUCCACGUGUAGCGGUGAAAUGCGUAGAGAUGUGGAGGAACACCAGUGGCGAAGGCGGCUCUCUGGUCUGUAACUGACGCUGAGGCGCGAAAGCGUGGGGAGCGGAACAGGAUUAGAUACCCUGGUAGUCCACGCCGUAAACGAUGAGUGCUAAGUGUUAGAGGGUUUCCGCCCUUUAGUGCUGCAGCUACGCAUAAGCACUCCGCCGUCGGGAGGUACGGUCGCGAGACGAGAACGUACAAUAGAAGUUAGUACGGCGUGAGACGUAGCCGACGGACGACGACGAGGGAGGAGGG